GAUGAACGCUGGCGGCGUGCUUAACACAUGCAAGUCGAACGGUGAACCCGGAGCUUGCUCUGUGGGAUCAGUGGCGAACGGGUGAGUAACACGUGAGCAACCUGCCCCUGACUCUGGGAUAAGCGCUGGAAACGGCGUCUAAUACUGGAUAUGUGACGUGAUCGCAUGGUCUGCGUCUGGAAAGAAUUUCGGUUGGGGAUGGGCUCGCGGCCUAUCAGCUUGUUGGUGAGGUAAUGGCUCACCAAGGCGUCGACGGGUAGCCGGCCUGAGAGGGUGACCGGCCACACUGGGACUGAGACACGGCCCAGACUCCUACGGGAGGCAGCAGUGGGGAAUAUUGCACAAUGGGCGCAAGCCUGAAGCAGCAACGCCGCGUGAGGGAUGACGGCCUUCGGGUUGUAAACCUCUUUUAGCAGGGAAGAAGCGAAAGUGACGGUACCUGCAGAAAAAGCGCCGGCUAACUACGUG
Molecule: ribosomal RNA, 468 nt
Filed under: uncultured bacterium
Lineage: Bacteria
Description: partial 16S ribosomal RNA
Rfam family: Bacterial small subunit ribosomal RNA
Source: RNAcentral